UGCCAAGCAGCCGCGGUAAUUCCAGCUCCAAUAGCGUAUAUUAAAGUUGUUGCGGUAAAAAAGCUCGUAGUUGGAUUUCUGCUGGGGAUGAGCGGUCCACACCAUGUGUGCGCAUCUGUUUCAGCCUCGGCAUCCUCUCGAAAGACGUUUCUGCGCUUGAUUGCGUGGAGCGGAUCUCGGGACUUUUACUUUGAGGAAAUUGGAGUGUUCACGGCAGGCUAUCGCCAGAACAUAUUAGCAUGGAAUAAUACUAUAGGAUCUUGACCCUAUUUUGUUGGUUUCUAGGAUUGAGAUAAUGACUAAUAGGAACAAUUGGGGGCACUCGUAUCAACAUGUCAGAGGUGGAAUUCUUGGAUUAUGUUGCGACGAACUACUGCGAAAGCAUUUGCCAAGGAUGUUUUCAUUGAUCAAGAACGAAAGUAAGGGGAUCGAAGACGAUUAGAUACCGUCGUAGUCUUUACCAUAAACUAUGCCAACUAGAGAUGGGACAUCGUUCACUUACGACUUGUUCCGCACCUUAUGAGAUAUCAAAGUUUUUGGGUUCCGGGGGGAGUAUGCUCGCAAGUGUGAAACUUAAAGGAAUUGACGGAAGGGCACCACCAGGAGUGGAGCCUGCGGCUUAAUUUGACUCAACACGGGGAAACUCACCAGGUCCAGACAUAAUAAGGAUUGACAGAUUGAUAGCUCUUUCUUGAUUUUAUGGGUGGUGGUGCAUGGGCCGUUCUUAGUUCGUGGAGUGAUUUGUCUGCUUAAUUGCGUUAACGAACGAGACCUUAACCUGCUAAAUAGAAGCGCAUAUCUUCGGAUAAGCGCCUUUCUUCUUAGAGGGACUGUUUGCGUUUCAGCAAGCGGAAGUUUGAGGCUAAAACAGGUCUGUGAUGC
This 882-nucleotide ribosomal RNA is filed under the name uncultured eukaryote. Its description in RNAcentral is "SSU rRNA". It matches the Rfam family "Eukaryotic small subunit ribosomal RNA", at positions 565 to 1470 of the family's 1831-position model. The record is from RNAcentral.